RNAcentral lists this ribosomal RNA (472 nucleotides) under [Eubacterium] brachy. RNAcentral's name for it is "bacterial SSU rRNA". It matches the Rfam family "Bacterial small subunit ribosomal RNA", at positions 28 to 500 of the family's 1533-position model. The record is from RNAcentral. Lineage: Bacteria; Bacillati; Bacillota; Clostridia; Peptostreptococcales; Anaerovoracaceae.
GAUGAACGCUGGCGGCGUGCUUAACACAUGCAAGUCGAGCGAGAAGUUUUGAAAAGAUUCUUCGGAUGAAAUUUAAAAUGGAAAGCGGCGGACGGGUGAGUAACGCGUAGGCAACCUGCCCCAUACAAAGGGAUAGCAUUUGGAAACGAAUAUUAAUACCUUAUGAAACUUAACUAGUGCAUGCUAGGUAGGUCAAAGAUUUAUCGGUAUGGGAUGGGCCUGCGUCUGAUUAGCUAGUUGGUGAGGUAACGGCUCACCAAGGCGACGAUCAGUAGCCGACCUGAGAGGGUGAACGGCCACAUUGGAACUGAGACACGGUCCAAACUCCUAUGGGAGGCAGCAGUGGGGAAUAUUGCACAAUGGGGGAAACCCUGAUGCAGCAACGCCGCGUGAACGAUGAAGGCCUUUGGGUCGUAAAGUUCUGUUCUAGGUGAUGAAAACUGACAGUAACUUAGGAGAAAGCCCCGGCUAA